Molecule: ribosomal RNA, 432 nt
Filed under: uncultured bacterium
Lineage: Bacteria
Description: partial 16S ribosomal RNA
Rfam family: Bacterial small subunit ribosomal RNA
Source: RNAcentral
ACGCACGUUGGCGGCAUGCCUAACACAUGCAAGUCGAACGAGACCUUCGGGUCUAGUGGCGCACGGGUGCGUAACGCGUGGGAACCUGCCCUUAGGUUCGGAAUAACUCCCCGAAAGGGGUGCUAAUACCGGAUAAUGUCUUCGGACCAAAGAUUUAUCGCCUUUGGAUGGGCCCGCGUUGGAUUAGCUAGUUGGUAGGGUAAAAGCCUACCAAGGCGACGAUCCAUAGCUGGUCUGAGAGGAUGAUCAGCCACACUGGGACUGAGACACGGCCCAGACUCCUACGGGAGGCAGCAGUGGGGAAUAUUGGACAAUGGGCGAAAGCCUGAUCCAGCAAUGCCGCGUGAGUGAUGAAGGCCUUAGGGUUGUAAAGCUCUUUUACCCGGGACGAUAAUGACAGUACCGGGAGAAUAAGCUCCGGCUAACUCCGUG